Molecule: ribosomal RNA, 465 nt
Filed under: uncultured bacterium
Lineage: Bacteria
Description: partial 16S ribosomal RNA
Rfam family: Bacterial small subunit ribosomal RNA
Source: RNAcentral
GACGAACGCUGGCGGCGUGCUUAACACAUGCAAGUCGUACGGUAAGGCCCUUUCGGGGGUACACGAGUGGCGAACGGGUGAGUAACACGGGAGUAACCUGCCCACAACUUUGGGAUAACGCUAGGAAACUGGUGCUAAUACUGGAUAUGUGCUCCUGCUGCAGGGUGGGGGUUGGAAAGCUCCGGCGGUUGUGGUUGGCCUCGCGGCCUAUCAGCUUGUUGGUGGGGUAGUGGCCUACCAAGGCGGCGACGGGUAGCCGGCCUGAGAGGGUGCCCGGCCACAUUGGGACUGAGAUACGGCCCAGACUCCUACGGGAGGCAGCAGUGGGGAAUAUUGAACAAUGGGCGCGAGCCGGAUGCAGCAACGCCGCGUGCGGGAUGACGGCCUUCGGGUUGGAAAACGCUUUCAGCAGGGACGAAGCUUUUUGUGACGGUACCUGCAGAAGAAGCACCGGCUAACUACGUG